Cricetulus griseus (Chinese hamster) is the source of this 322-nucleotide unclassified non-coding RNA. Its record names the gene 7SK. It matches the Rfam family "7SK RNA". From Rfam's summary of the family: 7SK was discovered as an abundant small nuclear RNA in the mid-70s but a possible function has only recently been suggested. Two independent studies have found that 7SK RNA binds the CDK9/cyclin T complex (known as elongation factor P-TEFb). Lineage: Eukaryota; Metazoa; Chordata; Mammalia; Rodentia; Cricetidae. The record is from Ensembl.
GGAUGUGAGGGAAAACUGUCUGUGACAUCUGUUAUCCCUCUUAAUCUCCAGGGUUGAUUUGGAGAAUUGGAUGUCUAGGUAUGGGUCCCUUUCCUCCUUACCAGUCCAUGUAUGACCCUCUCAACACUUUGUACUUGAUCAAAACCAUGACCUUUUCUUGAUGGAAGAGGACCCAUCUUCACCAAAGGUCUAUGAGCCCAUCUCUGCUAGGACCUCCAAACAAGCUCUCAAGAAGCAUUUUUAUACCAAACUACUUAAAAUGAGUCUGGUCUGAUAAAUUCCAGCAUUACCCAGUUGAUAUGCAAGAGGCAAUCUUCCCUUU